Molecule: long non-coding RNA, 962 nt
Organism: Triticum dicoccoides
Lineage: Eukaryota; Viridiplantae; Streptophyta; Magnoliopsida; Poales; Poaceae
Exons: 3
Source: RefSeq, a predicted model, not a curated record
ACCUUAGCAGCAGAUAUGCUGUCAGAGGUUGCCUCUCAGAGGGCCAAAUUAUUGCCUGCGGGUUACAUCUCUAGAUUGGAGAAACUCAGUGUGGAUGACAUCUCUGGAUUGCUUGUUGCUCCUAUUUGCAACCUCCUCGCCCCGGCCCUCCACACACUUCUAUUCGAGGAUAAGGGGAUGGAAGGCUUCACGGAAGAGCAAGAGAAAGCGCUGCAGCUCCUCACCUCCCUCCAGAAACUAAGUUUUUCAUAUUGCGGUGGGUCUGCAGUCCCUUCCUCAAGGGUUACAUCGCCUUUCUUCUCUCAAGGAGUUACAUGUCAUUCAGUGUGCAGCAAUCCGAUGGAUGCCAAAGGAGGGCCUCCCGGUUUCGCUGAGAAAACUACAUAUGGAUUGUCGCAGCGCUGAGAUAGACGAGCAAAUUGAGACAAUCAAAAGAACCAACCCAGAUUUAUCCAUCUCAUAUUACCCCUCAAGCACCAGCUGUGAGAUAGACCUGAGCGCUUUAUUCGCAUGAAGCAGUAGGACUGAGCAGGCCAAUUUAACUGUUGGCGAAGAGGAGGACGGAAGCAAUGAGGAUUAUUAUUUGGUCAACCACCAAGUUUAGUUUAUGCUGGCUGGGGCAGAGUACUGAAACUAUUGUACCCAGCUACGGUUUGAUUGGCUCUAUCUAAGAAUAGAAUAUCAACGUAAGUGAUGGCUCGCACUGGGAUGUCCUUCUUUUAAAGAAGUGUGCUUUGUGGAUGCAGAGGUAUGCAGCAAACAAAGCAGAGCAUAGCAUUCCAAAGGCAUCCAAAGGGUGCCAAGGUGCGAGGUGGUUAUUGGGAUUCAGCAUCAGCCUCGCAUGACUUGAGAAUUUUUUUGUUUCGCCUCUGUAAACUAGAUUGGCAGAAUUGAGUUUUUUUCCUAGUGUUCCGAUCAUGAUUUUGUUCCGUGACCACGGACCAAGUCAUCAAUGAUGCCAA